This 498-nucleotide ribosomal RNA is filed under the name Hermatobates weddi. RNAcentral's name for it is "eukaryotic LSU rRNA". It matches the Rfam family "Eukaryotic large subunit ribosomal RNA", at positions 691 to 1114 of the family's 3401-position model. Lineage: Eukaryota; Metazoa; Arthropoda; Insecta; Hemiptera; Hermatobatidae. The record is from RNAcentral.
UCGUUGGGAAUUGAACACCCAAAGGCGAAAUAAAAGUGAAGAAAGCAUUUUUGCUUUAUUAUUUAUUUAGGGAGGAUGAGAAGCGUUGUUUCAAUUUUUUUGGAAUAAUUUUCUCCGCACUCCCGGGGCGUCUCUAUUUCAUUGCGAAAGGAGGCGCACCAAGAGCGUACACGUUGGGACCCGAAAGAUGGUGAACUAUGCCUGGCCAGGACGAAGCCAGGGGAAACCCUGGUGGAGGUCCGUAGCGAUUCUGACGUGCAAAUCGAUCGUCAGAGCUGGGUAUAGGGGCGAAAGACUAAUCAAACCAUCUAGUAGCUGGUUCCCUCUGAAGUUUCCCUUAGGAUAGCUGCCAUCCAUGAUUGAGACGAAUCUCAUCUGGUAAAGCGAAUGAUUAGAGGCCUUGGGGUCGAAACGACCUCAACCUAUUCUCAAACUUUAAAUGGGUGAGAACCCAGGCUUGCUUAACAAAAUUUAUUUUGUGAAGCCUGGGCUCGGAUC